ACACGACCCGAGAAGAUAGUGGUGUUGUACUUCUGCCAAAUAACGGCAAGAAAGUAGUAACCAUUACGGUCACAUACAGAUCUCAAGACGAGUCUGAAAUCUUGUUGAGUCCGAUUACUGCACUGGUAUGCGAGGAAUUGACAAGCACAAGCAUCACAACGACCACUGUUUCGACUACACAUCCAUCGGUUUCCUCGACAUCAACUCCACCAUCAACAUCAAUUACAACGCCAGAAUAUUGCGAGAUGGGCGAAGAAGAGAGAGUUGUUUCACCACGUAUCGAAAGCAUUACCUCUAACGGCUUACCUCUUGAGAAUUUCGAUGCGUUCAACUCGGACGAAAGACCCAUACCAGUUACAACAGAUGAGAACAACACGGUUGUAGUCAAGAUUGACAUUCAACGGCCAGACGCGACAGAAGUGAAUGCGUUGCAAUUGCCCGAACCUAAAUAUAUUGAAUCCGUCACCGUUACCUACACAGAUAACACAACUCUA
Dreissena polymorpha is the source of this 494-nucleotide long non-coding RNA. RefSeq lists it as uncharacterized. The record is from RefSeq and is a predicted model, not a curated record. Lineage: Eukaryota; Metazoa; Mollusca; Bivalvia; Myida; Dreissenidae. The transcript is spliced from 3 exons.